GAACGGUAGCACAGAGAGCUUGCUCUCGGGUGACGAGUGGCGGACGGGUGAGUAAUGUCUGGGAAACUGCCCGAUGGAGGGGGAUAACUACUGGAAACGGUAGCUAAUACCGCAUAACGUCGCAAGACCAAAGUGGGGGACCUUCGGGCCUCACACCAUCGGAUGUGCCCAGAUGGGAUUAGCUAGUAGGUGGGGUAAUGGCUCACCUAGGCGACGAUCCCUAGCUGGUCUGAGAGGAUGACCAGCCACACUGGAACUGAGACACGGUCCAGACUCCUACGGGAGGCAGCAGUGGGGAAUAUUGCACAAUGGGCGCAAGCCUGAUGCAGCCAUGCCGCGUGUAUGAAGAAGGCCUUCGGGUUGUAAAGUACUUUCAGCGGGGAGGAAGGCGGUAGAGUUAAUAGCUUCACCGAUUGACGUUACCCGCAGAAGAAGCACCGGCUAACUCCGUG
RNAcentral lists this ribosomal RNA (452 nucleotides) under uncultured bacterium. Its description in RNAcentral is "bacterial SSU rRNA". It matches the Rfam family "Bacterial small subunit ribosomal RNA", at positions 64 to 507 of the family's 1533-position model. The record is from RNAcentral.